CACGGGGGGAGCAAGCGUUGUUCGGAAUCACUGGGCGUAAAGGGCGUGUAGGCGGUCAGGUAAGUGAGAUGUGAAAUGCCCCGGCUCACCCGGGGACCGGCAUCUCAUACUGCUUGGCUUGAGUACGGGAGAGGAUGUGGGAAUUCCUGGUGUAGCGGUGAAAUGCGUAGAUAUCAGGAGGAACACCGGUAGCGAAGGCGCACAUCUGGCCCGAUACUGACGCUGAGGCGCGAAAGCUAGGGGAGCAAACGGG
Molecule: ribosomal RNA, 253 nt
Filed under: uncultured bacterium
Lineage: Bacteria
Description: partial 16S ribosomal RNA
Rfam family: Bacterial small subunit ribosomal RNA
Source: RNAcentral